UACCAAGAGCGAUAGUCCAUACCUGUA
RNAcentral lists this non-coding RNA (27 nucleotides) under Mus musculus (house mouse). The record is from RNAcentral. Lineage: Eukaryota; Metazoa; Chordata; Mammalia; Rodentia; Muridae.